RNAcentral lists this long non-coding RNA (485 nucleotides) under Nicotiana benthamiana. Its description in RNAcentral is "long non-coding RNA (NBEN_LNC029930)". The record is from RNAcentral. Lineage: Eukaryota; Viridiplantae; Streptophyta; Magnoliopsida; Solanales; Solanaceae.
GUAUGUCUCUUCUUAUUUAAUACUGCCUCUCUGCUAUGUGUUUAUGCUUAAGUUAUUUCUUUAUUUAUUCUAUUGCUUUCUGCAAGUCUGUUCAUUCCUGCUCUUAUAUGAAUCCCCAUCCCUAAACCCUUUGUAUAAUGAGUUAUGGUUCUAACAAACAUGAAAACACUUGAUAUUGUUGUUCAUGUCUAUGGACUGGACUCCCAGAGUCCUAAACUCUUUCAAUUCCCAUUCCCCUUUCCCUUUAUGUGUAUUCUGAGCCUGAGACUUUGGUCUGGUAGUGUCCUAAUCAUUGUCCAGAUCAUAGUUUGACCUUCAACAUGUAUGUGCUCCUCUUUAUUGGCUGAAUAGGCGUGGUCAGGGGUAUGCCAGUCUACCUUAUGACUAGGUAUGACCACCAUCCUACCUUGGCAUUCCCUAACCCCUCCAUUGCACUUGCACUCAUUCUUAGAACAUUAAGUUCUGCCCCUCUUGUGAGCCUUGCU